This is a long non-coding RNA of Mauremys mutica (yellowpond turtle), 784 nucleotides long. RefSeq lists it as uncharacterized. NCBI's taxonomy places the organism in Eukaryota, Metazoa, Chordata, Testudines, Geoemydidae. The transcript is spliced from 3 exons. The record is from RefSeq and is a predicted model, not a curated record.
CAAGAACAGAUAUGAAACUGUGACCCAGGAGAACAUGCCCUGCAAGAGGGCCAGAAGUACUCUGAAACUUGCUAGGGUUCCCAUGUGGAAGAUGAGUCACACCAGGGUCCAGCAAGACUUCUCUGCCCUCUGCUGGAGGCAUCAGUGUCUUGCCACUCCCUGCUAAAGAAAAUCCGCUCUGAUUGGGCUGCCAACACGAUUUACUCCUCCAAAGAAUUAGAAGGCCAAAGUAGACUGGUGGAGACGCUGACUAAGAAGGCUUGGCUACUUCCUCUCAGGGGGUGACAGGAUCAGGAUACCAGGCAUGAGGACUUCUGGAUGCCCCUUGUACAGGAGAGAUUUUGAAGGACUCUACCCUGGAAGGGGGGAAAUGUUGAGUGACCUCGCCAGAGGGCCAAAUCACUAAGAGGGAGCAACAGUUAAUGAAGUGAGCGUAGGGCUGUGGCCUGAGAGUGAGAGGCAGAGAAACCGCAUGCGACCGCAGGAAGAGGCAUUGGUCUCAUGGAGCGAAUCCCCAGAACAGCCAGGAGGAGGCACCAUUCCAGCAGUGAGUAGAGCACACAUGUGGGUAUUGAUAGUUAUUACAAUGUAUUAAAGAGAAGACAACGUAUCAAGAAUUUGGUAUUUUGACAGUAAAAGCAAUAUAAAUACACAUCAGUGUCUAAUCCUGCAUGGUAUGAAUGUCUACUGUGAGCAGGGCUGUGCAAUACAUCUGCUCUUUCAGAGUCUGUUCUGGUUUGGCUACCCACCGUUUGAGACUUACACCUGUCUUAUUUUGAAGCCU